CGAAGGUGAACGAAGGUCUUACGGGUGUGGAACAACAUGAGGGUGACGAAGGAGUUGGAUAAGUUGGGGAUCUUAAGUCCAGGGAAGCAUGUAACAGGAAGAAGGUGAGCAUGCAGGUGUGUUCGACUUCGGCUGGAUGUAAUUGAUCAGCAAGAGUUGCCACUUGCACUUGGGAAGGAGCUGAAAAUGGAGACGUGAAGCCGAACACUUUCUGCUUCCUGUACUGACGCUUGUGUGGUGUUUGCAUACUUAAUCAUAAAUGAAGUGAAUUAAAUGCAUUGUUUUUCAAAUACACAGACAUUUCAGAGAUGUUUUCAUUAAAUACUUUAUGGAUUGCUUAAUACAGCAUCUAUUUGUACAAUAAUAAAGUUCAACAUAAAAUUUAAAUACCCUUGAAGUGGGGUCUAUGUUUUUUAUCAGUUUUAUUUUGAUAAACAUGACACAAUACAACAUUGCAACUACAUGAAACGUGCUUUUACUGUUAUAAAAAUACAGAUUUGUGAGCAUUAGUGGAACUUAGUGUCAGAAUAAAUAUGAAACACAUGAGAUCGUUGUAAUCUUUUGAAUCUAGCCAAUUGUGAAACAGCUGUGUCGUCAUCAGAUCCCGUGCAGCCAAUCUGGAGAAGCUGCGCCAGCUGAGUGAGCUGUCUGCUCUCAAAUCAUUUUCGCGGUAAUGCAGU
Megalobrama amblycephala (Wuchang bream) is the source of this 680-nucleotide long non-coding RNA. RefSeq lists it as uncharacterized. The record is from RefSeq and is a predicted model, not a curated record. The transcript is spliced from 3 exons. NCBI's taxonomy places the organism in Eukaryota, Metazoa, Chordata, Actinopteri, Cypriniformes, Xenocyprididae.